This 908-nucleotide unclassified non-coding RNA is filed under the name Hevea brasiliensis (rubber tree). The record is from RNAcentral. Lineage: Eukaryota; Viridiplantae; Streptophyta; Magnoliopsida; Malpighiales; Euphorbiaceae.
GUUUUUAGUAGCUUGGCACAAAUACUAAAGAAUCUCCCUUGUUGGCACAAAUCCGAAGGAACCUCCUUUGGUGGUGACUAUACGCUUCCAUGGUGGUGGAGUUGAAAAUGGGGCUGGUUGGGAAGUUUCUGGGCUGUUUCCCAAGUGCUAGAACCCCCUGGCCAAGUUUGGAAGUCUCUGGAAAAUUCUGCCGAAAACUGCCCUCUGGAGCUAUCUGGAAGCUUUUGGAGACAGGCACAGAUUAACCUUAUUCUACCUAGCUCUCCGCACAUCCUCCACCCAGCACGGCGCGCUAGUCUUGCAGCCGAAUCUUGCUCCGCACUACAUUGUUCGUCUGCCAAUUGAACCUCUCUCACACGCCCAAUGCCCUGCACUGCCCUGCCAAUCCAGUUUGAACCUUGUACGCGCCUUGCCUGCCUUGCGCCAGCGUAGCAUGCGCUAGCGCCCCAAUUCCACACUGCCCCCGCCAAGUUAACCUUGUUUGGCCUGAUUCUUGUCAAAUUGAACCUCACAUAUGCGCAGUCUGCCCAUCAAACCUGCGCUACUUCCCCUCUCCCUGCAAGGUUACCCCAACCAUGAACCUCACUUGGCAGCACUCCUGCGGUAAAAUUUUGGACUCCUACGGGAGGUGAUUUUUGUGGGUUUACAUCUUGCAUGGAAGCCACUGGCACUUUGGAUGAGGAUUGUUAAGUUGUUGUGAAUAUGCUGUUUUGGGGGAUUGGUAUUUAAUUUGUGAACAAUUGUUCUGUAUGGUCUAGGAGUAGUUUUAAUCUUACAAUUCUCCUGCUCCCUCUCACAAAUUGUCUCUGAUUUCUUUUUUGAUGGCCUGAUUAAUAUCUGCAAUCUUGACUAACUAACCAUGUUUCCACCCCUCAAUACCACAGAUCGAAUUCACCUGUUCUGGAAGA